AACGAACGCUGGCGGCAUGCCUAACACAUGCAAGUCGAACGAGACCUUCGGGUCUAGUGGCGCACGGGGGCGUAACGCGUGGGAACCUGCCCUUAGGUUAGGAAUAACUCCCCGAAAGGGGUGCUAAUACCGGAUAAUGUCUUCGGACCAAAGAUUUAUCGCCUUUGGAUGGGCCCGCGUUGGAUUAGCUAGUUGGUAGGGUAAAAGCCUACCAAGGCGACGAUCCAUAGCUGGUCUGAGAGGAUGAUCAGCCACACUGGGACUGAGACACGGCCCAGACUCCUACGGGAGGCAGCAGUGGGGAAUAUUGGACAAUGGGCGAAAGCCUGAUCCAGCAAUGCCGCGUGAGUGAUGAAGGCCUUAGGGUUGUAAAGCUCUUUUACCCGGGAUGAUAAUGACAGUACCGGGAGAAUAAGCUCCGGCUAACUCCGUG
This 433-nucleotide ribosomal RNA is filed under the name uncultured bacterium. RNAcentral's name for it is "partial 16S ribosomal RNA". It matches the Rfam family "Bacterial small subunit ribosomal RNA", at positions 29 to 507 of the family's 1533-position model. The record is from RNAcentral.